Molecule: ribosomal RNA, 253 nt
Filed under: uncultured bacterium
Lineage: Bacteria
Description: partial 16S ribosomal RNA
Rfam family: Bacterial small subunit ribosomal RNA
Source: RNAcentral
UACGUAGGGGGCAAGCGUUAUCCGGAUUUACUGGGUGUAAAGGGAGCGUAGACGGCUUUGCAAGCCAGAUGUGAAAGCCCGGGGCUCAACCUCGGGACUGCAUUUGGAACUGUAUGGCUGGAGUGUCGGAGAGGCAGGCGGAAUUCCUAGUGUAGCGGUGAAAUGCGUAGAUAUUAGGAGGAACACCAGUGGCGAAGGCGGCCUGCUGGACGAUGACUGACGUUGAGGCUCGAAAGCGUGGGGAGCAAACAGG